GGGGAGAAAAAGGGAGCUUUCGCCCGCCUCCCGGUUUGUUUUCGUGAAUGGUGGUUGCAUGCGCUUUGUACUUGCGUUGCGUUUGUAUCUUUCCCAGUCAGAGCGGCUGUAUUUGAACAUUUCUCGCAAGAACUACAGUCCUGUUGGUGUUGCAUCUCGUCAAUUAAAGUGUCGUGCUACGAUGGCUACACUGCGAACUACUAGAGGAAAGAACUUUGGCAGUGCGCAUGUGGCAACCUUUUCAGCUAGCGUCGCUGGAAAUGCCAAGGGCAUAUGCUGGUGUAGGUGCUGCUGCUGUAAGUCAAGCCAAAGGCAGGAACGGUGCUUUGGCCACUGAAUGAUGGUGGGAACAUCUUGAAGUGGAUUACGGUGGCGGAAUGGGCUUGUUGACCAAUCAUCAUUGGAAUGAUACCAUUCCACCAAUCUUGGAAGUGCACGCAUUGUGAUGCGGCGUGUGGUCGUGUGGUCCUGUUAGUGGUGAACGAGCAACUGCGGUAUCCCCUUACUGGCCUGCUGU
Molecule: long non-coding RNA, 517 nt
Organism: Rhipicephalus sanguineus (brown dog tick)
Lineage: Eukaryota; Metazoa; Arthropoda; Arachnida; Ixodida; Ixodidae
Exons: 3
Source: RefSeq, a predicted model, not a curated record